UACUCCAGAGGGUGUCAUUCACA
This 23-nucleotide microRNA is filed under the name Equus caballus (horse). RNAcentral describes it as "eca-miR-508-5p". Its record names the gene eca-miR-508-5p. The record is from miRBase by way of RNAcentral. Lineage: Eukaryota; Metazoa; Chordata; Mammalia; Perissodactyla; Equidae.